GGAUCAGUGGUGUACAAGGUGUAGGUGUGCACGUUUGUCUGAAAAGCAGAAGGGAACCGUUCAAUUCGGUUCUGAUCCA
This 79-nucleotide transfer RNA is filed under the name Chryseobacterium defluvii. Its description in RNAcentral is "tRNA-Phe". It matches the Rfam family "tRNA". From Rfam's summary of the family: Transfer RNA (tRNA) molecules are approximately 80 nucleotides in length. Their secondary structure includes four short double-helical elements and three loops (D, anti-codon, and T loops). The record is from RNAcentral. Lineage: Bacteria; Pseudomonadati; Bacteroidota; Flavobacteriia; Flavobacteriales; Weeksellaceae.